GAUGAACGCUGGCGGCGUGCCUAAUACAUGCAAGUCGAGCGAACAGACGAGGAGCUUGCUCCUCUGACGUUAGCGGCGGACGGGUGAGUAACACGUGGAUAACCUACCUAUAAGACUGGGAUAACUUCGGGAAACCGGAGCUAAUACCGGAUAAUAUAUUGAACCGCAUGGUUCAAUAGUGAAAGACGGUUUUGCUGUCAAUUAUAGAUGGAUCCGCGCCGCAUUAGCUAGUUGGUAAGGUAACGGCUUACCAAGGCAACGAUGCGUAGCCGACCAGAGAGAGUGAUCGGCCACACUGGAACAGAGACACGGUCCAGACUGCGACGGGAGGCAGCAGUAGGGAAUCUUCCGCAAUGGGCGAAAGCAUGACGGAGCAACGCCGCGUGAGUGAUGAAGGUCUUCGGACCGUAAAACUCUGUUAUUAGGGAAGAACAAAUGUGUAAGUAACUAUGCACGUCUUGACGGUACCUAAUCAGAAAGCCACGGCUAACUCCGUG
This 497-nucleotide ribosomal RNA is filed under the name uncultured bacterium. RNAcentral's name for it is "partial 16S ribosomal RNA". It matches the Rfam family "Bacterial small subunit ribosomal RNA", at positions 28 to 507 of the family's 1533-position model. The record is from RNAcentral.